AAAACGAGCGCAUGCGCAGUGAGCAGUCUAGAGGGGGCACUGGGGAACGUGUAAGAUCUGGGGAAUCAAGCGAAGCUGGUUCUGACCAGCUGGACUGGUCUGUCUCAGUACAACUGAGCGCACUGCAACUCUGCCUCUAAAUGUAAGUGACCCCAAUGCAACUCUGUCUCUAAUGCCUCGGGGCAACUGACCCCAAUGCAACCAAUCCCAAUACAACUGCUUCCAAUAUGUUAGUGCAGCUGCCUGUAAUGUAAACAACACCUAACAUCCUGUUACAACUGCCCCUACGUGUCGUCUCUGAAUGGAUGCUCUGCAACAAUGAAAAUACUCAGCAUUUCAUACAAAUGUUAGAAGUUGUUUGCAGUGUGGUUGAAGCCGUGUUGGUCCUACAAUAUGAGGGAGACAAGGUACUCUGAGAAUACGAAACAGUCUUUAGGAUUUACAAAAAGCCUAUUUAGAUGCUUCUCAGUGACAACAUGGCCUAUCUGAUAUCCUCUUGGUACUUACUGCUCAUCUGAGCCACAUCUUAUGAAAGGGAACAUACAUGAGGAUUUCAAGCAAGACACUCCAGACAAGUGCUGAUGAUUGAAAAGACAUAAGGAAAAAAUAAGGUUUCUUUUGGAAAAUGUUCUUUUGUUAAAUUAACAGAUUUAAGGAUUUCUGAACAACUGAAAAAAUUAAUUUUACAUUAAACAAAAUUCACAAAUGUGUGUGUGACACUCUGUACCUCAAAAUAGCACCCUGGAACCCACAUAUACACCACUGUGGUAUGAUUAUGAUACGUUUUGUACAAAGUAUGCCUUGUGAGUGAGGUGUCAUUUAAAAGGUCUUCAUCUGUUGAACAUUAUUAUCUUGUUGAAUUGCAUGUACUAUCAUUGUAUGUGAAGUUAUGAAGUGUUGUUAAAAUAUGUUGUGAGGUUGGGAGAUACCUACAGCCAGUCUUUCAGUGACAACAAAGGAGCAAUUGACAAGACAGAAUUACAUCAGGACCAUCCAGACGUGUUGAUGACCCACCAAGAAAAAUCUACUCUCCCAGAGACACCUCAGAGGGGGCACAUAUGCAAUGAGGGGUACCUAAACCCCAUGUCACAGCAAGGAUUUUUCUAGCAGCUGGAAGAAAGUAUAAAAGAGAGACAGUGACAUCAUCACUUGGCCUCUCUCCUCCCACACCUCAACAGCUGUAAGAUCGUCUAGAAGACAAAGACUUUGAACUGAGGGGAUUUGUCCCAGAGUGAGAGGGAAUGCAGCCUGUGUAUUAGGAACUGUAAGCUGCCUGUAACCUCUAUUAGAGUGAGAGAAGCUGUUUGAUUCAAACCUAACUUAGUCUGUAGAAUUUAGACUGCAAGUUUAUUUCUUUUUCCUAUGUAACCAACUUUGAUCUCUAUGUCUGCUACGUAUAAUCACUUAAAAUCUCUCUUUCUUAGUUAAUAAAUAUGUUUUAUAUUUUAUCUAAAA
This is a long non-coding RNA of Chelonia mydas (Green sea turtle), 1455 nucleotides long. RefSeq lists it as uncharacterized. The transcript has 3 exons. The record is from RefSeq and is a predicted model, not a curated record. Lineage: Eukaryota; Metazoa; Chordata; Testudines; Cheloniidae.